GGAAUCUUCCGCAAUGGGCGAAAGCCUGACGGAGCAACGCCGCGUGAGUGAUGAAGGUCUUCGGAUCGUAAAACUCUGUUAUUAGGGAAGAACAUAUGUGUAAGUAACUGUGCACAUCUUGACGGUACCUAAUCAGAAAGCCACGGCUAACUACGUGCCAGCAGCCGCGGUAAUACGUAGGUGGCAAGCGUUAUCCGGAAUUAUUGGGCGUAAAGCGCGCGUAGGCGGUUUUUUAAGUCUGAUGUGAAAGCCCACGGCUCAACCGUGGAGGGUCAUUGGAAACUGGAAAACUUGAGUGCAGAAGAGGAAAGUGGAAUUCCAUGUGUAGCGGUGAAAUGCGCAGAGAUAUGGAGGAACACCAGUGGCGAAGGCGACUUUCUGGUCUGUAACUGACGCUGAUGUGCGAAAGCGUG
This 413-nucleotide ribosomal RNA is filed under the name Staphylococcus aureus. RNAcentral describes it as "bacterial SSU rRNA". It matches the Rfam family "Bacterial small subunit ribosomal RNA", at positions 358 to 763 of the family's 1533-position model. Lineage: Bacteria; Bacillati; Bacillota; Bacilli; Caryophanales; Staphylococcaceae. The record is from RNAcentral.